RNAcentral lists this ribosomal RNA (671 nucleotides) under Methylobacterium sp. UAPS0123. Its description in RNAcentral is "bacterial SSU rRNA". It matches the Rfam family "Bacterial small subunit ribosomal RNA", at positions 40 to 754 of the family's 1533-position model. The record is from RNAcentral. Lineage: Bacteria; Pseudomonadati; Pseudomonadota; Alphaproteobacteria; Hyphomicrobiales; Methylobacteriaceae.
CKGCAGGCYUWACACAUGCAAGUCGAACGGGCUUCUUCGGAAGUCAGUGGCAGACGGGUGAGUAACACGUGGGAACGUGCCCUUCGGUUCGGAAUAACUCAGGGAAACUUGAGCUAAUACCGGAUACGCCCCUUUGGGGGAAAGGUUUACCGCCGAAGGAUCGGCCCGCGUCUGAUUAGCUUGUUGGUGGGGUAACGGCCUACCAAGGCGACGAUCAGUAGCUGGUCUGAGAGGAUGAUCAGCCACACUGGGACUGAGACACGGCCCAGACUCCUACGGGAGGCAGCAGUGGGGAAUAUUGGACAAUGGGCGCAAGCCUGAUCCAGCCAUGCCGCGUGAGUGAUGAAGGCCUUAGGGUUGUAAAGCUCUUUUGUCCGGGACGAUAAUGACGGUACCGGAAGAAUAAGCCCCGGCUAACUUCGUGCCAGCAGCCGCGGUAAUACGAAGGGGGCUAGCGUUGCUCGGAAUCACUGGGCGUAAAGGGCGCGUAGGCGGCCGAUUAAGUCGGGGGUGAAAGCCUGUGGCUCAACCACAGAAUUGCCUUCGAUACUGGUUGGCUUGAGACCGGAAGAGGACAGCGGAACUGCGAGUGUAGAGGUGAAAUUCGUAGAUAUUCGCAAGAACACCAGUGGCGAAGGCGGCUGUCUGGUCCGGUUCUGACGCDGAGSCGC